AAAGUGCUUCCUUUCAGAGGGU
RNAcentral lists this microRNA (22 nucleotides) under Macaca mulatta (Rhesus monkey). Its description in RNAcentral is "Mml-Mir-430-P34_3p* (star (passenger))". The record is from RNAcentral. Lineage: Eukaryota; Metazoa; Chordata; Mammalia; Primates; Cercopithecidae. RNAcentral also lists the same sequence under 2 other names.